ACUCCUACGGGAGGCAGCAGUGGGGAAUAUUGCACAAUGGGCGCAAGCCUGAUGCAGCCAUGCCGCGUGUGUGAAGAAGGCCUUCGGGUUGUAAAGCACUUUCAGUUGUGAGUAAAGGUUAGUCGCUAAUAUCGGCUAGCUGUGACGUUAGCAACAGAAGAAGCACCGGCUAACUCCGUGCCAGCAGCCGCGGUAAUACGGAGGAUCCAAGCGUUAUCCGGAAUCAUUGGGUUUAAAGGGUCCGUAGGCGGUUUUAUAAGUCAGUGGUGAAAUCCGGCGGCUCAACUGUCGAACUGCCAUUGAUACUGUAGAACUUGAAUUAUUGUGAAGUAACUAGAAUAUGUAGUGUAGCGGUGAAAUGCUUAGAGAUUACAUGGAAUACCAAUUGCGAAGGCAGGUUACUAACAAUAUAUUGACGCUGAUGGACGAAAGCGU
RNAcentral lists this ribosomal RNA (435 nucleotides) under uncultured bacterium. Its description in RNAcentral is "bacterial SSU rRNA". It matches the Rfam family "Bacterial small subunit ribosomal RNA", at positions 335 to 762 of the family's 1533-position model. The record is from RNAcentral.